ACAGAGGGUGCAAGCGUUGUCCGGAAUUACUGGGCGUAAAGGGCGCGUAGGCGGUUUGGUAAGUAGGGGGUGAAAGGUCACGGCUCAACCGUGACACGGCCUCCUAAACUGCCAGACUUGAGCAUGGUAGAGGCAGAUGGAAUUCCCGGUGUAGCGGUGGAAUGCGUAGAGAUCGGGAAGAACACCAGUGGCGAAGGCGGUCUGCUGGGCCAUUGCUGACGCUGAGGCGCGAUAGCGUGGGGAGCAAACAGG
Molecule: ribosomal RNA, 252 nt
Filed under: uncultured bacterium
Lineage: Bacteria
Description: partial 16S ribosomal RNA
Rfam family: Bacterial small subunit ribosomal RNA
Source: RNAcentral